Molecule: ribosomal RNA, 289 nt
Filed under: Enterococcus faecalis
Lineage: Bacteria; Bacillati; Bacillota; Bacilli; Lactobacillales; Enterococcaceae
Description: partial 16S ribosomal RNA
Rfam family: Bacterial small subunit ribosomal RNA
Source: RNAcentral
UAAUACCGCAUAACAGUUUAUGCCGCAUGGCAUAAGAGUGAAAGGCGCUUUCGGGUGUCGCUGAUGGAUGGACCCGCGGUGCAUUAGCUAGUUGGUGAGGUAACGGCUCACCAAGGCCACGAUGCAUAGCCGACCUGAGAGGGUGAUCGGCCACACUGGGACUGAGACACGGCCCAGACUCCUACGGGAGGCAGCAGUAGGGAAUCUUCGGCAAUGGACGAAAGUCUGACCGAGCAACGCCGCGUGAGUGAAGAAGGUUUUCGGAUCGUAAAACUCUGUUGUUAGAGAA